Molecule: ribosomal RNA, 253 nt
Filed under: uncultured bacterium
Lineage: Bacteria
Description: partial 16S ribosomal RNA
Rfam family: Bacterial small subunit ribosomal RNA
Source: RNAcentral
GACGUAGGGCGCGAGCGUUGUCCGGAUUUAUUGGGCGUAAAGAGCUCGUAGGCGGCUCGUUGCGUCAGCUGUGAAAACCCGCAGCUCAACUGUGGGCUUGCAGCUGAUACGGGCAGGCUUGAGUUCGGUAGGGGAGACUGGAAUUCCUGGUGUAGCGGUGAAAUGCGCAGAUAUCAGGAGGAACACCGAUGGCGAAGGCAGGUCUCUGGGCCACUACUGACGCUGAGGCGCGAAAGCUAGGGGAGCGAACGGG